Molecule: ribosomal RNA, 254 nt
Filed under: uncultured bacterium
Lineage: Bacteria
Description: partial 16S ribosomal RNA
Rfam family: Bacterial small subunit ribosomal RNA
Source: RNAcentral
CACGUAGGGAGCAAGCGUUGUCCGGAUUUAUUGGGCGUAAAGAGCUCGUAGGCGGCUCAGUAAGUCAGGUGUGAAACCUCCAGGCUCAACCUGGAGACGCCACCUGAUACUGCUGUGGCUAGAGUCCGGUAGGGGAGCGUGGAAUUCCUGGUGUAGCGGUGAAAUGCGCAGAUAUCAGGAGGAACACCAGCGGCGAAGGCGGCGCUCUGGGCCGGAACUGACGCUGAGGAGCGAAAGCCAAGGUAGCAAACAGG